RNAcentral lists this ribosomal RNA (405 nucleotides) under uncultured bacterium. RNAcentral's name for it is "bacterial SSU rRNA". It matches the Rfam family "Bacterial small subunit ribosomal RNA", at positions 29 to 417 of the family's 1533-position model. The record is from RNAcentral.
AACGAACGCUGGCGGCGUGCCUAACACAUGCAAGUCGUGCGAGAAAGUUCCUUCGGGAGCGAGUAAAGCGGCGCACGGGUGAGUAACACGUAGGUAACCUGCCCUCCAGUCUGGAACAACUAGAGGAAACUCUAGCUAAUGCCGGAUGAGACCACGAUCCCUUCGGGGGUUGCGGCCAAAGAUGGCCUCUACUUGUAAGCUAUCGCUGAGGGAUGGGCCUGCGGGCCAUUAGCUUGUUGGUGAGGUAACGGCUCACCAAGGCUGUGAUGGCUAGCUGGUCUGAGAGGAUGACCAGCCACACUGGGACUGAGACACGGCCCAGACUCCUACGGGAGGCAGCAGUGGGGAAUAUUGCGCAAUGGGCGAAAGCCUGACGCAGCGACGCCGCGUGGGUGAUGAAGGCCU